GAUGAACGCUGGCGGCGUGCCUAAUACAUGCAAGUCGAGCGAACGGACGAGAAGCUUGCUUCUCUGAUGUUAGCGGCGGACGGGUGAGUAACACGUGGAGAACCUACCUAUAAGACUGGGAUAACUUCGGGAAACCGGAGCUAAUACCGGAUAAUAUUUUGAACCGCAUGGUUCAAAAGUAAAAGACGGUCUUGCUGUCACUUAUAGAUGGAUCCGCGCUGCAUUAGCUAGUUGGUAAGGUAACGGCUUACCAAGGCAACGAUGCAUAGCCGACCUGAGAGGGUGAUCGGCCACACUGGAACUGAGACACGGUCCAGACUCCUACGGGAGGCAGCAGUAGGGAAUCUUCCGCAAUGGGCGAAAGCCUGACGGAGCAACGCCGCGUGAGUGAUGAAGGUCUUCGGAUCGUAAAACUCUGUUAUUAGGGAAGAACAUAUGUGUAAGUAACUGUGCACAUCUUGACGGUACCUAAUCAGAAAGCCACGGCUAACUACGUG
This 497-nucleotide ribosomal RNA is filed under the name uncultured bacterium. Its description in RNAcentral is "partial 16S ribosomal RNA". It matches the Rfam family "Bacterial small subunit ribosomal RNA", at positions 28 to 507 of the family's 1533-position model. The record is from RNAcentral.